AUUGAACGCUGGCGGCAGGCCUAACACAUGCAAGUCGAGCGAGCGGCGGACGGGUGAGUAAUGUAUGGGAACCUGCCUGAUGGAGGGGGAUAACUACUGGAAACGGUGGCUAAUAACGCAUAAUAUCAGAUGUACCACGCUGGGAUUAGCUAGUAGGUGGGGUAAAGGCUCACAUAGGCGCCGAUCCCUAGCUGGUCUGAGAGGAUGAGCAGCCACACUGGAACUGAGACACGGUCCAGACUCCUACGGGAGGCAGCAGUGGGGAAUAUUGCACAAUGGGCGCAAGCCUGAUGCAGCCAUGCCGCGUGUGUGAAGAAGGUCGUCGGGUUGUAAAGCACUUUCAGCGAGGAGGCGUUACUCGCAGAAGAAGCACCGGCUAACUCCGUGCCAGCAGCCGCGGUAAUUC
This 406-nucleotide ribosomal RNA is filed under the name uncultured bacterium. Its description in RNAcentral is "partial 16S ribosomal RNA". It matches the Rfam family "Bacterial small subunit ribosomal RNA", at positions 30 to 526 of the family's 1533-position model. The record is from RNAcentral.